This 497-nucleotide ribosomal RNA is filed under the name uncultured bacterium. Its description in RNAcentral is "partial 16S ribosomal RNA". It matches the Rfam family "Bacterial small subunit ribosomal RNA", at positions 28 to 507 of the family's 1533-position model. The record is from RNAcentral.
GAUGAACGCUGGCGGCGUGCCUAAUACAUGCAAGUCGAGCGAACAGACGAGGAGCUUGCUCCUCUGACGUUAGCAGCGGACGGGUGAGUAACACGUGGAUAACCUACCUAUAAGACUGGGAUAACUUCGGGAAACCGGAGCUAAUACCGGAUAACAUGUUGAACCGCAUGGUUCAACAGUGAAAGACGGUUUUGCUGUCACUUAUAGAUGGAUCCGCGUCGCAUUAGCUAGUUGGUAAGGUAACGGCUUACCAAGGCAACGAUGCGUAGCCGACCUGAGAGGGUGAUCGGCCACACUGGAACUGAGACACGGUCCAGACUCCUACGGGAGGCAGCAGUAGGGAAUCUUCCGCAAUGGGCGAAAGCCUGACGGAGCAACGCCGCGUGAGUGAAGAAGGUCUUCGGAUCGUAAAACUCUGUUAUUAGGGAAGAACAAAUGUGUAAGUAACUAUGCACGUCUUGACGGUACCUAAUCAGAAAGCCACGGCUAACUACGUG